RNAcentral lists this microRNA precursor (186 nucleotides) under Oryza brachyantha (malo sina). RNAcentral describes it as "MIR812 microRNA precursor family". It matches the Rfam family "MIR812 microRNA precursor family". Lineage: Eukaryota; Viridiplantae; Streptophyta; Magnoliopsida; Poales; Poaceae. The record is from Rfam by way of RNAcentral.
AAUAAAUGAAUUUCUGCGUUUUUUAGAAUGUUUGAGUUUUCGUCUUAUUUAAAAAAAUUUAUGAUUAAUAUUUUUAUUGUACUACAUAAUAAAAACAUGAAUAGUACUUUAUGUAUGACUAAUGUUUUUUUAACUUUUUAAUAAAUCUUUUAAAUAAGACGGAUGAUCAAACGCUCAACCAUAGAU